GACGAACCGUGCGAACGUUGUUCGGAAUCACUGGGCUUAAAGGGCGCGUAGGCGGGCUGCCGCGUCUGGGGAUGAAAUCCUCCGGCUCAACCGGGGAAGGGCCUCGGGUACGGGCGGCCUCGAGGGAGAUAGGGGCAUGGCGGAACUGUAGGGUGGAGCGGUGAAAUGCGUUGAUAUCCAACAGGAACUCCGGUGGCGAAAGCGGUGUGCUGGAUCCUUUCUGACCGCUGAUGCGCGAAAGCCAGGGGAGCAAACGGG
Molecule: ribosomal RNA, 258 nt
Filed under: uncultured bacterium
Lineage: Bacteria
Description: partial 16S ribosomal RNA
Rfam family: Bacterial small subunit ribosomal RNA
Source: RNAcentral